Molecule: long non-coding RNA, 1195 nt
Filed under: Mus musculus (house mouse)
Lineage: Eukaryota; Metazoa; Chordata; Mammalia; Rodentia; Muridae
Description: predicted gene, 32063
Source: RNAcentral
AUUCAGAAAGAAGUAGGAGGGCUUCAGGGAUUCAGCGGAGGAGACUGAAAGCCUGAGAGACGAUGCCUCUGAGAAGGUUACAGACCUUGGGAGAAAGCGCUUUCACCUCCUCACCACAGACACUCUCGACUGUGGACUCAGGACACUAAGCCAGAAAGGGUAGACUGUUGUCACCCCGUGUGUCAUGGAGACCCUGUAGUUUUGGAUCUGCAGGACUGGCUUCUUCACGUACUCCAGCAGUUCAUUGAUGGGAUAGACGUGGGGUGGGCUAACUCAAAGCCCUGGAUCUGGGCCUGAGAGGUGUCUGAGCUGCUCAGCCCACCAGCUCUCCAGUUCUUGUGGCCUUUGGAUUGGCUCGCCAGCAACCCCCUCUCCCAGGGCUAGCUCUCCUGGCUGACCAGGAACCUGACAAGACUGACUAGCCAUCUCUAGCAUUCAGAUAGGUGGAACUUCAUUGUGCUGAAGUUAUGUUUGAGCACCCUCUGCUGGACAAAUCAGAUGCUCUAUGACUACCAACAAUGUACCAGUGGUAUUCGUCUCUUGCAGAUCUGGAAGAAAAUGAAAUUUAGAUGUGAGCGAGCAGUCUCCUUCCUGCUGCUGCAGCUGCAAGCUGCUCCUGCCGCCCAUGCCUUCUCUACUGCCAUGCCUUCCCUACCACAAGGGCCAGAACUCUCACACUGAAAGCCAGAAUAAAUCCUUCCUCUCUUCGGUUGGUUGUUGUCAGGAGAAGGCAGCAGCUGGCAUCAAUGGUGUGGUGAGGAGAGAAUCAAGUUUCCUUCUCCAGUUCAAACAGACGAAAGUGAAGCGACAUAGGCUCAAGGACAGGGUCACUGGGCUAGCGCCACACCAUGGAGCCAAACCCCGAGCCUUCUAAAUUGUGAGCUGGGCAUGGUGGUUCACCCCAGGAAUCGCAGCACUGAGGGAUGAAGGCGAGAGAGUCACUGUGGGUGUGACAUCAGUCUGGCCUGAAGUCUGAGACUGUUUUUUUAAAAAGAAAACAUUUUUUUAUGUCAUAUAUUUAAUUAUAUAAAGAUUCUGUUGUUUUGUUGUUGUUGUUGUUAAAAUUCAGCCAGGAAAUUUCCAUCUGUCUGGUGUUAAUUGGUUGUUUUUCAGCACUAAUUGGGAAAUGAUAUAUUUUUAUUGUUUUAUAAAUAGAGUAAAACCCCUCAGAAACUGCUGGGGAAAUUUAAACAAG